RNAcentral lists this ribosomal RNA (1556 nucleotides) under Escherichia coli. RNAcentral's name for it is "bacterial SSU rRNA". It matches the Rfam family "Bacterial small subunit ribosomal RNA". The record is from RNAcentral. Lineage: Bacteria; Pseudomonadati; Pseudomonadota; Gammaproteobacteria; Enterobacterales; Enterobacteriaceae.
UUAAAUUGAAGAGUUUGAUCAUGGCUCAGAUUGAACGCUGGCGGCAGGCCUAACACAUGCAAGUCGAACGGUAACAGGAAACAGCUUGCUGUUUCGCUGACGAGUGGCGGACGGGUGAGUAAUGUCUGGGAAACUGCCUGAUGGAGGGGGAUAACUACUGGAAACGGUAGCUAAUACCGCAUAACGUCGCAAGACCAAAGAGGGGGACCUUCGGGCCUCUUGCCAUCGGAUGUGCCCAGAUGGGAUUAGCUUGUUGGUGGGGUAACGGCUUACCAAGGCGACGAUCCCUAGCUGGUCUGAGAGGAUGACCAGCCACACUGGAACUGAGACACGGUCCAGACUCCUACGGGAGGCAGCAGUGGGGAAUAUUGCACAAUGGGCGCAAGCCUGAUGCAGCCAUGCCGCGUGUAUGAAGAAGGCCUUCGGGUUGUAAAGUACUUUCAGCGGGGAGGAAGGGAGUAAAGUUAAUACCUUUGCUCAUUGACGUUACCCGCAGAAGAAGCACCGGCUAACUCCGUGCCAGCAGCCGCGGUAAUACGGAGGGUGCAAGCGUUAAUCGGAAUUACUGGGCGUAAAGCGCACGCAGGCGGUUUGUUAAGUCAGAUGUGAAAUCCCCGGGCUCAACCUGGGAACUGCAUCUGAUACUGGCAAGCUUGAGUCUCGUAGAGGGGGGUAGAAUUCCAGGUGUAGCGGUGAAAUGCGUAGAGAUCUGGAGGAAUACCGGUGGCGAAGGCGGCCCCCUGGACGAAGACUGACGCUCAGGUGCGAAAGCGUGGGGAGCAAACAGGAUUAGAUACCCUGGUAGUCCACGCCGUAAACGAUGUCGACUUGGAGGUUGUGCCCUUGAGGCGUGGCUUCCGGAGCUAACGCGUUAAGUCGACCGCCUGGGGAGUACGGCCGCAAGGUUAAAACUCAAAUGAAUUGACGGGGGCCCGCACAAGCGGUGGAGCAUGUGGUUUAAUUCGAUGCAACGCGAAGAACCUUACCUGGUCUUGACAUCCACAGAACUUUCCAGAGAUGGAUUGGUGCCUUCGGGAACUGUGAGACAGGUGCUGCAUGGCUGUCGUCAGCUCGUGUUGUGAAAUGUUGGGUUAAGUCCCGCAACGAGCGCAACCCUUAUCCUUUGUUGCCAGCGGUCCGGCCGGGAACUCAAAGGAGACUGCCAGUGAUAAACUGGAGGAAGGUGGGGAUGACGUCAAGUCAUCAUGGCCCUUACGACCAGGGCUACACACGUGCUACAAUGGCGCAUACAAAGAGAAGCGACCUCGCGAGAGCAAGCGGACCUCAUAAAGUGCGUCGUAGUCCGGAUUGGAGUCUGCAACUCGACUCCAUGAAGUCGGAAUCGCUAGUAAUCGUGGAUCAGAAUGCCACGGUGAAUACGUUCCCGGGCCUUGUACACACCGCCCGUCACACCAUGGGAGUGGGUUGCAAAAGAAGUAGGUAGCUUAACCUUCGGGAGGGCGCUUACCACUUUGUGAUUCAUGACUGGGGUGAAGUCGUAACAAGGUAACCGUAGGGGAACCUGCGGUUGGAUCACCUCCUUACCUUAAAGAAGC